UGAAGGUUUUUUAAGUUUUAUACGAAGAUAAUAAUUUUAGUUGUUAUUUUUAAUUUUCAUAUAUGUAAUAAAGAUACAAUUAAUAGAUUUGGCUUUGGUCAAAGAAUUGAAUAGCAUAAACUUAGAUAUACACAUGGUUCUUUUUGGUAGAGGUAAGGCUAAAGUUAUAGUAUUUUUAUGAAUUAAAGAUUCUUAAAAAUCUUAAUGAUCUGGUAUUAUUUAUAACAUAAUGCCAUGCUAUUGUGUUACUUGCACCAGUGAUGGAUAUUAGUAAAUGAGUGUAAACUUGAACUAGGUUAGUUUUAUAUUGUCUGGUUAAUGUGGUGCCAGCAUUCGCGGUUAGACCAUAAGACUUAGUUAUUUGCUAUAAGGCUGUAACAGUUAAAUAUAAAAGAUAGUUUGUUAAAUUUAAAUUUUAAUGGUAAAAUCUGUAAAAUUUAAAGAAAUCUGGUUUAAACUUUGGUUAAUUGAAGCUGUGAAAUUCUUAGCCAAGACUAGGAUUAGAUACCCUAUUAUUUAAGAUUUUAAAUAUAAUAUUGCCUGAGUACUACGAAUAAUAAAUUUUAUUUACGUUUGAUUUAAAACUCAAAAAGCUUGGCGGUGUUUUAGACUACUCAGGGGAACCUGUCCCUUAAUCGACAGUCCACGUAAGACCUGACUCUAUUUGGUAUAGUAUGUAUACCGUCGUCGGCAGGUAACUUUUUAAAAAAUAGAAGUUAGCGAAAUAAAAAUCUUGUUUUUUAUGUCAGAUCAAGGUGCAACUUAUAAUAGAGAGAGGAUGGGUUACAAUUAAUAGGUAAUUUUUAACUAUGGAGGCAUUAAUGAAAUUUUUUGCUGAAGGAGGACUUGAAAGUAAGAAAUUAUUAUAUAGAUUUUCUGAAUAUAGCUCUGAAACGUGCACACAUCGCCCGUCGCUCUCGUUGAAAAAUGAGAUAAGUCGUAACAUAGUAGGGGUAACGGAAGUUGUUCCUAGAUGA
This 977-nucleotide non-coding RNA is filed under the name Marisa cornuarietis. RNAcentral's name for it is "12S ribosomal RNA". The stretch from base 543 to 972 matches the Rfam family "Microsporidia small subunit ribosomal RNA", at positions 752 to 1303 of the family's 1311-position model. Lineage: Eukaryota; Metazoa; Mollusca; Gastropoda; Architaenioglossa; Ampullariidae. The record is from RNAcentral.